This 785-nucleotide ribosomal RNA is filed under the name uncultured bacterium. RNAcentral's name for it is "bacterial SSU rRNA". It matches the Rfam family "Bacterial small subunit ribosomal RNA", at positions 28 to 811 of the family's 1533-position model. The record is from RNAcentral.
GAUGAACGCUGGCGGCGUGCUUAACACAUGCAAGUCGAACGAAGCACUUUUAUUUGAUUUCUUCGGAAUGAAGAUUUUAGUGACUGAGUGGCGGACGGGUGAGUAACGCGUGGGUAACCUGCCUCAUACAGGGGGAUAACAGUUAGAAAUGACUGCUAAUACCGCAUAAGACCACAGCACCGCAUGGUGCAGGGGUAAAAACUCCGGUGGUGUGAGAUGGACCCGCGUCUGAUUAGGUAGUUGGUGGGGUAACGGCCUACCAAGCCGACGAUCAGUAGCCGACCGGAGAGGGUGACCGGCCACAUUGGGACUGAGACACGGCCCAAACUCCUACGGGAGGCAGCAGUGGGGAAUAUUGCACAAUGGGGGAAACCCUGAUGCAGCGACGCCGCGUGAGCGAUGAAGUAUUUCGGUAUGUAAAGCUCUAUCAGCAGGGAAGAAAAUGACGGUACCUGACUAAGAAGCACCGGCUAAAUACGUGCCAGCAGCCGCGGUAAUACGUAUGGUGCAAGCGUUAUCCGGAUUUACUGGGUGUAAAGGGAGCGUAGACGGAGUGGCAAGUCUGAUGUGAAAACCCGGGGCUCAACCCCGGGACUGCAUUGGAAACUGUCAAUCUGGAGUGCCGGAGAGGUAAGCGGAAUUCCUAGUGUAGCGGUGAAAUGCGUAGAUAUUAGGAGGAACACCAGUGGCGAAGGCGGCUUACUGGACGGUAACUGACGUUGAGGCUCGAAAGCGUGGGGAGCAAACAAGAUUAGAUACCCUGGUAGUCCCCGCCGUAAACGAUC